UCUCACCUGUGUGGAUCACUCUGAGUGUGUUCAGUCUCUCUGUUUCUCCUCUCCUGUGUCAGCUCUUCAUAAAUCUUCCCUGAAUGUUUCUCUGAGUCUUUUGGCUUCUCCAGAGAUUCUUCAGAUUUUUUGUUCAAGAAGAGGAACCAUCCAGAGGGAAAGGAAGGAACACGACACAGAAGUACCAAAGACUGCAGUUCCCUGAGUGUCCACUAGAGGCCGACUUCCAAACAUGACAUCAUCUUUUACAGCACACAGGUACGGCUUCAAACACACCGGAUCUCUCCUUUCACACCUGAAGCUGCUGUAAAAUAAAAUAAAGCUGGGAGAGGAUUUCACGUACCGUCUGAUAAACAGAAGUCUCUGGGGAUCUUUGGGAGUCUAAUAUUUACAACUGGAAAUCUGUACACAACACAAAACCUGGUCUGACACAGCUCACAGCUGAUAUUUACAGAUUGGAGACGUGCUGAGAAAGACAUCUGAAGCUUCCAAACCCACAGAGGCAUGAUGGGAGAGCACAGAACCCUCCGCUCAGUGACUGACGCCUGGAGACACGAGCAGAGAUAAAUCCUGUUUAGCACUUCUUUUGCUUCAUGGAUGUCAGCUCUGAGUAUCUCAGUCAGCACGCAGGGCGGCCUCUCACUCCUCACAGAGCAGCCAUCCAUGAUUCAGGAUCUAUAUUUGAUGAGGAAGAUUACACUCAAAGCUGGCCUGCAUGUUUUAUCUGAACACCUCCGGUAUACGCAGAGAUUUGGAAACUCAUCCAAACGAAGUAAACAUGAGCGCACUCAGAGAGACGGAGAGGGAGAGGAGAGGGGAUUCUCUGCAGCAGGAGGAGUGAAGACAAAUACUCAGCAAGUGCAUGAGUUCCUGUCUCCCAUAGCAAGACAGAUGUUUCCUAACAACAUGUGACUUUAUUAUUUCAUGGAUGUCACAGAUUAAACCAUCAGUCCUGCAGGUCACUUGUCUUCAGAGUGAAGUCUGUCGUCCUCCUCUCUGCAGAUAACACUUCCUGUCGCUCUGAUUUUGUCUCUCAGGCUAAAAAAGCAUUUUGAAUGUAAAUGAGAUUUUGGUGUAAACAAACAAUAAAUCAAUAACCUGACUGCUUUCAAUGUAGAGCACGCAACCAAGGAACACCAAGCAAAGAAACAGGGAGAUAAA
Long non-coding RNA from Notolabrus celidotus (New Zealand spotty), 1161 nucleotides. RefSeq lists it as uncharacterized. The transcript has 3 exons. The record is from RefSeq and is a predicted model, not a curated record. NCBI's taxonomy places the organism in Eukaryota, Metazoa, Chordata, Actinopteri, Labriformes, Labridae.